GUUGAAAACAAAAAGCACAAAGAGUAUAUUUGUUUUUGGGCCCAAUCUUGGAGAAAAUUUCCAUUAAACUCACCUGCACAAGGAAUGGAAGAUUAUCCCCCAUCAAGUUUUGUAGGAAAUCUAACCCCACCCAGAAAAAGAAAGUGUUUCCAGUCUUUGUUUCAUAUAAUGAUUUCUAUCUGUCCUCUAGAACAUGUGUGUUUCUUAUGACCACAGUAUAUUCAGUCUUAGUUUAAACAGUGAUAAGUAUAUUUAUAGAUCUGUGUAAAACAAAAUAUUACUAGCAUGUCAGCAUUUGGUUGAUCUUCACAUUCUUGGCUUAAAAAUGGUUUAAAAUAAAACAUACACACAAAGCAGGGUUGUUUUUUUGGCUCCAGUUUCCUCAUUUUUGCCCACAACAGACCUGGCAGAUGUGGGAUAGUUGGAAUGUGCAUAUCUAACAAUUCUCUUCUGUGCCAUCAUUUGAAGCUGUAGGAGUGCAGCUAUUUGGCUGUAGCACAGAACAGAGUGAUGAAUGCUGUUUUCCAUACAGCAUUUUCCAUAGACCAGGGCUCAGUGGCUGGCAAGGCAAAGAAAUUACAACUUUCCAAGUCAGAAGCAGAGAAAAGGGAAAUACUUUCUGAAAAAAACUCUAUUGUAACCCACAUAGUUCCAAAAGGGUGUGUCGUACUGGAAAAUCUUUCAUGUGAGAGAGCAACCUGAUUGUGUGAGGUCCUUCUCACAGAUGUCCAGGAUGCAGAAACCAGAGGUGUAGCCUGCCAAAUCUGCCAAGGAUCAUAUUUGUCCACCCCACCAGAACAAAUACCUCAGGAAUGGAACAGCAACACAACUAAACUGUAGUGAGGGUUAGACUAGCUAUGGAAAGCUAGUGUUAUCCUAAAACAGGCUUUCAUGGGGCAAGGUCCAGCUCUGAUAAAUGACCAUCACUCUUAAAUAAAUGAGCAGCCUAGACAGCA
RNAcentral lists this long non-coding RNA (956 nucleotides) under Anser brachyrhynchus (Pink-footed goose). RNAcentral's name for it is "lncRNA (ENSABRG00000008829.1)". Lineage: Eukaryota; Metazoa; Chordata; Aves; Anseriformes; Anatidae. The record is from RNAcentral.